RNAcentral lists this ribosomal RNA (254 nucleotides) under uncultured bacterium. RNAcentral describes it as "partial 16S ribosomal RNA". It matches the Rfam family "Bacterial small subunit ribosomal RNA", at positions 524 to 776 of the family's 1533-position model. The record is from RNAcentral.
UACGUAGGGGCCAAGCGUUGUCCGGAUUUAUUGGGCGUAAAGAGCUCGUAGGCGGUUCGGCAAGUCGAAUGUGAAAUCUCCACGCUCAACGUGGAGGAGUCAUUCGAUACUGCCGUGACUUGAGUACGGUAGGGGAGUGUGGAAUUCCCGGUGUAGCGGUGAAAUGCGCAGAGAUCGGGAGGAACACCCGUAGCGAAGGCGGCACUCUGGGCCGAUACUGACGCUGAGGAGCGAAAGCGUGGGGAGCGAACAGG